GACGAACGCUGGCGGCGUGCCUAAUACAUGCAAGUAGAACGCUGAAGGAGGAGCUUGCUCUUCUGGAUGAGUUGCGAACGGGUGAGUAACGCGUAGGUAACCUGCCUGGUAGCGGGGGAUAACUAUUGGAAACGAUAGCUAAUACCGCAUAAGAGUAGAUGUUGCAUGACAUUUACUUAAAAGGUGCAAUUGCAUCACUACCAGAUGGACCUGCGUUGUAUUAGCUAGUUGGUGGGGUAACGGCUUACCAAGGCGACGAUACAUAGCCGACCUGAGAGGGGGGUCGGCCACACUGGGACUGAGACACGCCCCAGACGGCUACGGGAAGCAGCAGUAGGGAAUCGUCGGCAAUGGACGGAAGUCUGACCGAGCAACGCCGCGUGAGGGAAGAAGGUUGUCGGAUCGUAAAGCUCUGUUGUAAGAGAAGAACGAGUGUGAGAGUGGAAAGUUCACACUGUGACGGUAUCUGACCAGAAAGGGACGGCUAACUACGUG
This 495-nucleotide ribosomal RNA is filed under the name uncultured bacterium. RNAcentral describes it as "partial 16S ribosomal RNA". It matches the Rfam family "Bacterial small subunit ribosomal RNA", at positions 28 to 507 of the family's 1533-position model. The record is from RNAcentral.